CGGAUAUGUCAUGCUGGCGGACGCGACAGCGUGCGGAGGAAGCCGGUGGGAAUCCGGCGCGGUCCCGCCACUGUCACCGGGGAGCGUCACCGUCCCGGAGGGUCACCUC
RNAcentral lists this unclassified non-coding RNA (109 nucleotides) under Frankia canadensis. The record is from RNAcentral. Lineage: Bacteria; Bacillati; Actinomycetota; Actinomycetes; Frankiales; Frankiaceae.